This 465-nucleotide ribosomal RNA is filed under the name uncultured bacterium. Its description in RNAcentral is "partial 16S ribosomal RNA". It matches the Rfam family "Bacterial small subunit ribosomal RNA", at positions 28 to 506 of the family's 1533-position model. The record is from RNAcentral.
GACGAACGCUGGCGGCGCGCCUAACACAUGCAAGUCGAACGAGCGAGAGAGAGCUUGCUUUCUCGAGCGAGUGGCGAACGGGUGAGUAACGCGUGAGGAACCUGCCUCAAAGAGGGGGACAACAGUUGGAAACGACUGCUAAUACCGCAUAAGCCCACGACCCGGCAUCGGGUAGAGGGAAAAGGAGCAAUCCGCUUUGAGAUGGCCUCGCGUCCGAUUAGCUAGUUGGUGAGGUAACGGCCCACCAAGGCGACGAUCGGUAGCCGGACUGAGAGGUUGAACGGCCACAUUGGGACUGAGACACGGCCCAGACUCCUACGGGAGGCAGCAGUGGGGAAUAUGGCACAAUGGGGGAAACCCUGAUGCAGCGACGCCGCGGGGAGGAAGAAGGUCUUCGGAUUGUAAACUCCUGUUGGUGAGGAAGAUAAUGACGGUACUCAACAAGGAAGUGACGGCUAACUACGU